CAGUAGCCGCGGUAAAACGUAGGGUGCGAGCGUUAAUCGGAAUUACUGGGCGUAAAGCGGGCGCAGACGGUUACUUAAGCAGGAUGUGAAAUCCCCGGGCUCAACCUGGGAAUUGCGUUCUGAACUGGGUGGCCAGAGUGUGUCAGAGGGGGGUAGAAUUCCACGUGUAGCAGUGAAAUGCGUAGAGAUGUGGAGGAAUACCGAUGGCGAAGGCAGCCCCCUGGGAUAGCACUGACGUUCAUGCCCGAAAGCGUGGGUAGCAAACAGGAUUAGAUACCCCGGUAGUCCCUGUCUCUUAUAA
This 301-nucleotide ribosomal RNA is filed under the name uncultured bacterium. RNAcentral's name for it is "partial 16S ribosomal RNA". It matches the Rfam family "Bacterial small subunit ribosomal RNA", at positions 509 to 809 of the family's 1533-position model. The record is from RNAcentral.